GCCGCGAGGUGUUGGCUUAAGUGCCGCAACGAGCGCAACCCCGAUCGUAUGUUGCCAGCGGGUCAUGCCGGGCACUCAUGCGAGACUGCCGGGGAAACCCCGGAGGAAGGACGGGACGACGUCAAGUCAGCAUGGCCCUUACGCCUGGGGCUGCAAACGCGCUACAAUGCGCGGUACAGCGGGUUGCAAGACCGCAAGGUGGAGCUAAUCCCGAAAAACCGCGCCCAGUUCGGAUCGGGGUCUGCAACUCGACCCCGUGAAGUUGGAGUCGCUAGUAAUGGCAGAUCAGCAUGCUGCCGUGAAUGCGUUCUCGGGCCUUGUACACACCGCCCGUCACACCCCGAAAGCGGGCAACAGAUGAAGCCGGUGGCCCAACCGUAAGGAGGGAGCCGUCGGGUCUGGGGUUCGUGAUUGGGGUGAAGUCGUAACAAGGUAGCCGUACCGGAAGGUGCGGCUGGAUCACCUCCUUUCUGGAGCACAGAGUCCAUGACUCUUUUUUGCAUGGACUCGACGGGUCGGCGGACCUAAUUAGUAGAACAACCCGCACUAGCAGUUCUGAGGGAAUAGUCGCCCCGACGGGACGCAGAAUUACGGCGUCUCGUCGCCUCUUUUUGGGCGACGAAGUUCCGGCUCCUUGACAACCACAUAGCGAGCGUAGGCAUCUUCACAAGGCCAAGCUACAAAGGGCCCACGGUGGAUGCCUCGGCGCCAGAAGGCGAUGAAGGACGCGGCUAGCUGCGAAAAGCCUCGGGGAGCUGCUGAGCGAGCGUUGAUCCGAGGAUGC
RNAcentral lists this small RNA (784 nucleotides) under uncultured Pseudonocardia sp. Its description in RNAcentral is "bacterial SSU rRNA". The stretch from base 1 to 470 matches the Rfam family "Bacterial small subunit ribosomal RNA", at positions 1064 to 1533 of the family's 1533-position model. The record is from RNAcentral. Lineage: Bacteria; Bacillati; Actinomycetota; Actinomycetes; Pseudonocardiales; Pseudonocardiaceae.